Molecule: long non-coding RNA, 2805 nt
Organism: Hylaeus anthracinus
Lineage: Eukaryota; Metazoa; Arthropoda; Insecta; Hymenoptera; Colletidae
Exons: 3
Source: RefSeq, a predicted model, not a curated record
ACUAUGAUUGACACGUGUCGAUGAGUGGAUUAUUUAUAUGUAUAUAUUCAAAUAAUUUUCGGUGAAACACUGAUACUCACCGACUGGCCAAGAAGGGAGCUUGGCACAUUCAAUUUGUCCGGAAUUUGUUCUUUCUGCGGACAUCCGGCCGCACGGAAGUCGCGACGGCUUUUGAAUCAAAGAGCGAAGAAAUCGUACAAAUUGGACGUCCUCGUGGAACGACCAUAACGCGACCAUUUCGUGGAACCGCAGCUGGUCGGAAUACCUGGCGUUACGACUCGCCGAUGUUACAACCCCGUCGAAGCGUUCUAAUGAAGAAAUAAAAGCGAUCUAUAUCGGGCAGCCACAAAACGUUUCACGAUCAAAUAAAAGACUCCUCGAGCCGUUCCAUCGGACGGCUGGCAAUAUGGCCGAGGAUAUUCGAUCAGUUCCUUCCAUUUCUGACACGGGCUUACAACAUCGUCUUCGAGCCGACGAUUACGCGAUGAUGUUUCCUCGUGUCCCCUGGUUCGUUGCCUUUUCCCAUCGGCAGGAGCGGGAACCCGACGGAACGUGUCCUUUACGAGCAGGGACCAACCCUUAACGACGCCCCAGCGUCGAUUCUGUGCCAAGCAUACAGAUCGAUCUUAACCGAGUCAAUCUUGGCGAGGAUUCCGUUCACGUACGAUCAGCUUUUCAAUCAUAUAUGAGCCACUGAAUCGUUUCGCGGGAAAAUCACUGGUGAACCACUCUGUUUAUGCACGACGAAACGACGUCGAGGAAUCCUUGCGUAAGCAACGUCUCGAGAGGGUGACUCGGACCCGCGACCCUAAUGGGUACCGCACGGUUGACCUACGGAAUGAUAACUGGCACAACGAUUCUCGAAACUUUUCUAUGUUUGCCUCUUUCUUUUUCUCGAUCUUUUCUGGCUUCCUCGAGACGACGCGACCUACAUAGUUGCUCUAGAAGGUCCAGACAUCGAAUCUUUACAUUUAUUUUUCUAUCGAUAGAUUGUGCUUUGACAUAUAAUUCCUUUUCUAUCCAGAGUAUAAUAAUUUACAGCAUCCCAGAACAUUGUUGUUCAACAUAAAUUCAGACCACGGUUUUACAUCACGGAAGUAACAAACCAUAAGUUACUUCGGGUAUGUCCGUUGUAUUUAUCCGCCCCGAAAACGGUAAAGUUUCGCGUGUAAACGAAGAUCGGUAAACUUGCCUGUUUUACCCGCGCAAAACGCGGAUCGAACGCUCGAGGAAUUUCAUGCUCGCGAGUCUCGCGAACGGUUGAUCGCGAUUUUGUGGAUCAUAAAAUCGGUACACCCAUAGGUGUUUGGUUUCUUUUUCGCGUGAGUCACGCGAUCGGGGCAGCUGAAUCAUCGAUACGCCAUUGAAGAUCGUGGAUGAAUCUAUAAUAAGAUCCCGGUGCACCACGUGUGGAUCCGAAUUCAAUUGAUCGCCGCCCACUCGGCCGGCGAAUUCCUCGCGGAUUGAAGAGUCGAGAAAAGGACUGACCUCUCCUCGAGUAGGAGCGAAUUGUGCCAACAACGCUUCUGGUAUUCGAAUAAUUGGUCCCUCGACGACAACCGAGGAAACAUCAUCGGAACAACGGUCGACAGAGGAGUUUCUGGAAACUUUUAAUUGCACACCACGUCUGCGGAACGUCCGUGAAUCUUCCGGCUGGACCGAAGAACCAGUGCCGCAAUCAAGAGGAAAGGGUUGGCCCCCACAAUAGAUUUAAAAGAUUUCUUUUAUUAUUUACGGGUACAGGUAGAUAAAAUCUUCCCUCGAUCACUUGAGCCGUCCAUUGCACAAAUCGAUCGACUCCAUAAAACAAAAAGUUGAGAAUUGUAUAAAAUUAAUAAUACAGAAUAGCCAAAAAAUAAUCGCCAGUGAUGUUACAAUUUUUAUAUGACUGGUGGAGUUAAUCGAUUUGUGCAACGAACAACUCAUUUAUCCUGAAAGACAUGAAAAAUUGGUUGUAUUGUUCACAGCCAUUGCACGAACGAAAACAUGGCGGACUCAUCGUCGAUUCAAAGUGGCUGGAAAAGAAGCACGAUGGCGAUAAUUGUUUAUAACGGCACAGUCAUCCAGCCGAUGCCGACUGUAAUUAUUUAACGGCGCCAGUCUUUUUGUUAUCCUUCUUGCUGGAGCCCCGACUGCGCAAUCUCGACUCCCUGAUUUCCAUUUGCGUUUUCUUGGACGUCGAUGGGAAUGCAUGAAUAUUAAGUGACGAUAAUUGAUUUCCAGGGAGCGUUCUCUCGAUAUUGCGGAAACGAAAGCAGCGAGCGUUGGAAGCAAAAGAAACCCUCGGCCGUUCUCUUGAUUCGCAGACAUUACACCUGGAUGGCGUGGGCGAUCCUUGGGGUUUUCCCGUGAUUUUUCCACCCAUGUACGCGGACCAGCGUGGCUGUAAUAAAUUUUAAUACGCCGGCUAAUCGAGAUUUAACCCCGCAGCUGACUGGAAAGAAGUGAUAAAGAAUCGGUUGGACGAAUUUUCCCAGCGACUCGUCGCGAGUUCGAGAAAUGUCGCAGGAACGUUCGCGCAUCGCUAUUUUUUGACAUCGCCUAUGGUUCCGCAGUAAUGCGCGAGGAAUACACGAUGCGGCCAGGUGGUGUGCGUGGUCUUCGUCAAUCAUCGCCUCAUAAAACCGACACCAAAUCGAAGCGGGCGACGUGUUUCCCUCGAUGUCUGUGAUAGAUUAACUGACGAGGCUUGCCGAGGAAGACGAAUGUUUGCUUUUACUGUAACUCUGUACAAUUACCGCAGCUGACAUUCGAACAUCACGGUGGUUGUACAUCUAUAUUCGUGGCUCUGUGGGAGGAAGUUAA